RNAcentral lists this ribosomal RNA (1667 nucleotides) under Diplodia mutila. RNAcentral describes it as "eukaryotic LSU rRNA". It matches the Rfam family "Eukaryotic large subunit ribosomal RNA", at positions 1 to 1445 of the family's 3401-position model. The record is from RNAcentral. Lineage: Eukaryota; Fungi; Ascomycota; Dothideomycetes; Botryosphaeriales; Botryosphaeriaceae.
GGUUGACCUCGGAUCAGGUAGGGAUACCCGCUGAACUUAAGCAUAUCAAUAAGCGGAGGAAAAGAAACCAACAGGGAUUGCCUUAGUAACGGCGAGUGAAGCGGCAACAGCUCAAAUUUGAAAGCUGGCUCCUUCGGAGUCCGCGUUGUAAUUUGUAGAGGAUGAUUCGGCGAGGGCUCCCGCCUAAGUCCCCUGGAACGGGGCGUCAUAGAGGGUGAGAAUCCCGUAUGCGGUGGGUUGCCUUAGCCAUGUGAAUCUCCUUCGACGAGUCGAGUUGUUUGGGAAUGCAGCUCUAAAUGGGAGGUAAAUUUCUUCUAAAGCUAAAUACCGGCCAGAGACCGAUAGCGCACAAGUAGAGUGAUCGAAAGAUGAAAAGCACUUUGGAAAGAGAGUUAAAAAGUACGUGAAAUUGUUGAAAGGGAAGGGCUUGCAACCAGACUUGUCCGCAGUUGCUCAGCCGGUCUCCUGACCGGCGUACUCUCCUGCGGCCAGGCCAGCAUCAGUUCAGGCGGUCGGAUAAAGACCCGGGGAAUGUAGCUCCUCUCGGGGAGUGUUAUAGCCCCGGGUGGAAUGCGGCCAGCUUGGACUGAGGAUCUCGCUUCGGCAAGGAUGCUGGCGUAAUGGUUGUAAGCCGCCCGUCUUGAAACACGGACCAAGGAGUCUAACAUCUAUGCGAGUGUUUGGGUGUCAAACCCAUACGCGUAAUGAAAGUGAACGGAGGUGGGAACCCGCAAGGGCGCACCAUCGGCCGAUCCUGAUGUCUUCGGAUGGAUUUGAGCAAGAGCAUAGCUGUUGGGACCCGAAAGAUGGUGAACUAUGCCUGAAUAGGGUGAAGCCAGAGGAAACUCUGGUGGAGGCUCGCAGCGGUUCUGACGUGCAAAUCGAUCGUCAAAUUUGGGUAUAGGGGCGAAAGACUAAUCGAACCAUUAAGAUAAGUAGUUUGUGCGAAAGCUUACACCUGUGGUAGUAACGUUGAACGAGGGUAAUUGUCUAUUAGGAGGUACUCUCCUCCCAGUGUUGAUAGUUAGUGAGGUACGUUGGUUUUAACGUUAAAAUUUAAACAGAUAAAACGCACUAUGCGAAUUAUCGCCUUACUAUGAGCUGGGUAGAGUAGUAGGUGUGGAGUUCCAAAGUGACUCCCGUAAGCAUCCUUUAAAAACCUAUUCAUCCUAUCUAGACACCGUUACUACGAGAUCAUUUGUUCUAUUUUGUCAGGAGUUGUGGAGUUUUUGCUUUUCGCUACUAGGUGGUUAAGAGGUGGCUAAAAGUGCCCACCUAGUCCUUCUAUCAGGGCGACACUGUUAAAUUGUUCGGGGACGCCCUUAGAGCUUAGACUACCGCGGCCCGCCGAAAGGCAGGGUGCAGCACCGGGGUAACGACCUAGGGUAUGGUAAUAACGUCUAAGAUUGGGCAACCCGCAGCCAAGCCCCUAAGUCCAGUAAAAUGGAUACGGGGAAGGUUCACAGACUAAAUAGCAGUGGGUUCGGCUGUAACAGGCCGGGUCUAAGAUAUAGUCGAUCCCCACGGAAACGUGGGCGGUGGGGCGAAGCUCAAAGGCAGAUAGGUGCGUCAAGCACGCCUUCAGGGCCCGAACCCCGCCGGGGAGCUGUUAUGGGCUUGCCUAGCAAGUCGUUGUGCAUGCUCAGGCCUGCAGCAGACUCUCGAGC